Molecule: ribosomal RNA, 469 nt
Filed under: uncultured bacterium
Lineage: Bacteria
Description: partial 16S ribosomal RNA
Rfam family: Bacterial small subunit ribosomal RNA
Source: RNAcentral
GACGAACGCUGGCGGCGUGCUUAACACAUGCAAGUCGAACGGUGAAGCGAGUGCUUGCACUCGUGGAUCAGUGGCGAACGGGUGAGUAACACGUGAGUAACCUGCCCAUCACUCUGGGAUAAGCACUGGAAACGGUGUCUAAUACUGGAUACGACCAACCCUUGCAUGGGGUGUUGGUGGAAAGAUUUAUCGGUGAUGGAUGGACUCGCGGCCUAUCAGCUUGUUGGCGGGGUAAUGGCCCACCAAGGCGACGACGGGUAGCCGGCCUGAGAGGGUGACCGGCCACACUGGGACUGAGACACGGCCCAGACUCCUACGGGAGGCAGCAGUGGGGAAUAUUGCACAAUGGGCGAAAGCCUGAUGCAGCGACGCCGCGUGAGGGAUGAAGGCCUUCGGGUUGUAAACCUCUUUCAGCAGGGAAGAAGCGAAAGUGACGGUACCUGCAGAAGAAGCACCGGCUAACUACGUG